RNAcentral lists this ribosomal RNA (253 nucleotides) under uncultured bacterium. Its description in RNAcentral is "partial 16S ribosomal RNA". It matches the Rfam family "Bacterial small subunit ribosomal RNA", at positions 524 to 776 of the family's 1533-position model. The record is from RNAcentral.
UACGGGGGGAGCAAGCGUUGUUCGGAUUUACUGGGCGUAAAGGGCGCGUAGGCGGCGCGGUAAGUCACUUGUGAAAUCUCUGAGCUUAACUCAGAACGGCCAAGUGAUACUGCAGUGCUAGAGUGCAGAAGGGGCAAUCGGAAUUCUUGGUGUAGCGGUGAAAUGCGUAGAUAUCAAGAGGAACACCUGAGGUGAAGACGGGUUGCUGGGCUGACACUGACGCUGAGGCGCGAAAGCCAGGGGAGCAAACGGG